RNAcentral lists this small nuclear RNA (18 nucleotides) under Arabidopsis thaliana (thale cress). RNAcentral describes it as "snRNA_00071". The record is from RNAcentral. Lineage: Eukaryota; Viridiplantae; Streptophyta; Magnoliopsida; Brassicales; Brassicaceae.
GUUCACUUCGUCCUCUCU